CAGGCCUAACACAUGCAAGUCGAGCGGUAGAGAGAAGCUUGCUUCUCUUGAGAGCGGCGGACGGGUGAGUAAUGCCUAGGAAUCUGCCUGGUAGUGGGGGAUAACGUUCGGAAACGGACGCUAAUACCGCAUACGUCCUACGGGAGAAAGCAGGGGACCUUCGGGCCUUGCGCUAUCAGAUGAGCCUAGGUCGGAUUAGCUAGUUGGUGNGGUAAUGGCUCACCAAGGCGACGAUCCGUAACUGGUCUGAGAGGAUGAUCAGUCACACUGGAACUGAGACACGGUCCAGACUCCUACGGGAGGCAGCAGUGGGGAAUAUUGGACAAUGGGCGAAAGCCUGAUCCAGCCAUGCCGCGUGUGUGAAGAAGGUCUUCGGAUUGUAAAGCACUUUAAGUUGGGAGGAAGGGUUGUAGAUUAAUACUCUGCAAUUUUGACGUUACCGACAGAAUAAGCACCGGCUAACUCUGUGCCAGCAGCCGCGGUAAUACAGAGGGUGCAAGCGUUAAUCGGAAUUACUGGGCGUAAAGCGCGCGUAGGUGGUUUGUUAAGUUGGAUGUGAAAUCCCCGGGCUCAACCUGGGAACUGCAUUCAAA
Molecule: ribosomal RNA, 593 nt
Filed under: Arthrobacter sp. Muzt-G01
Lineage: Bacteria; Bacillati; Actinomycetota; Actinomycetes; Micrococcales; Micrococcaceae
Description: bacterial SSU rRNA
Rfam family: Bacterial small subunit ribosomal RNA
Source: RNAcentral